CACUCUGAAAAUGAAAAAUAGACAUACAGUUUCAACCGACAAUGAUAUGAAGUUAAAUAAAAAAUCGACAAGGGUUCGUUAGAACUCUCGGAAAAACAGAUAAAAAAAUUUACGAACAACUUUGGAACAUAAGCUGUAUUACGCCUGUAAACUCAUCUAAUUCCCAAUUCGUCCACGCGUCAAAUCUUCCAAUUCUCAGUGUAUAGUCAAUGCUCGAAUGAUCUAACGCGCAUGCGCUAAAAUUCUGCAGCAAAAGCAGUUGUUGUCAGGAUAACCAACAUUUUUGAGGUUACAUCCAUCGCGGCGACCUGUCAUCUGAACUUACAUCGGUUGGUCGACCUGACAAAACAACUGCUAUGCUCUAGAAUUUUUUGCGCAUGCGCAUUAGACCAUUCGACCGUUAUCUACUCACUCCGUACACCUAUAUCCAUACGUAUUGCAGUUAAGCCCUCGAAUUUCAGGCCGGAUUGUAAUUAAUCCGUGUAUUGUACAAGAAGAUAAAAAAUUUAUUGCGCUCGGAUAUCGAAGUAUCGGUAUUAAACCAGCUAUAUUACUCGUUUGCAAGGUUUACGAAAUUCUGAGAGAAGAGUCAAUUACGUAAACGCAAUACGUAGUCACACAAGUAGGGUAUAAUAGAAAUAGGUAUGUACCUAUACCUGCACGUCGCGUACUUGCUCGUGAGAAUUUCACAGAAGAGAAAAAGCAAACAGAAACACGCGCACGCAUGUAUUACUAUUGAAAAUUUUGUUGCAAUCAUCGUUCUAAGAAACGCGCUGACGCAGACGAAUAUACGGCAAGUAUUUUAGAUAAGGACAAAGAAUAAUAUUGCGAUAAACAGAAGUAAGUUAAGAAAUUUCUCCCUUGUUUCAGUUGUAAUGCGCGACGUGUGCUGUAUCAACAUCCGAGUUUUGUACGAGUACGACAUUUUGUAUUGCCUGUUUAAGGAGAGAGAAAAAAAUCUUUACACCUACAGUAUAUAUUUUCAACGUUAAAACGACAGGGCAGAUGUGUCAGCGCGGCUGAUUGGCUCAAGGCUUCGUGCAUAGAGGAGGUAUGUAUGCACGAUUAUACGUACUACAUACCGUUGCUGGUCGUGUAAUGUACGUUGACUACCUUGAAAGAGAUUACGCAAUUGUUUAAGUUGGCCUACAGGUAAAACGACCGUAAUGUAACGUAACCCGGCUUGUUGCAGACGUGUUCUUAUCGACGAAAUACCUGGCUGCAGGUAUGUGUAUACCCGAGAAAUUCUGGAAUUUCGCAAUGAAUUUUCAUGGUGCUAAAAAAGACGUGGAAAUCAAUCCUUCCAGUACAAUAGCGGCGACAGGACGGUAACACAGAGCGUGAACAUUCCAACUACUUUGCACGCAGCGAUUCAUCCUGCAGUUUUGCAAAAGUUUACGAUCGAUUGUAUACUUGAACGAGAAGAGGAAAAUAUAGAUAACAAAAGAGAUAUUUUUUUUUAGACGUAAUUACCACAUCGAUUGUAUACGAUAAUUAUACGUAGGUACGUAAUUCCGAGUUCUAAGAGUUGUAUACGAGUGUAUAAUAUCCUCUUUAUCUGACGGAUCUUUUCAAUUCCAGGCCCUAUUUAAACCAUGUUACAGGUAUAAUAUUAUUGUGCAAACGAAAACGUUUAAAUAAUACACAAACAAAAAUAAGGAGAACUUGGUAAUUCUCAUAUUUCCGAAGAAUUAUAAUAUCAUGUAUACAAGGGCAGACGAAUACGACGCGGCGACGAUUGAAGAGAAACAAAAAAUACAAAAUCAAGGCAACGCGGAAUAAUAUGGAAGAGAUGGAGAGAAAACCACAGAGUUUGUUAUAUAAACCGAAACGCUGCUAGUCAACCGUGAUUCGGUAAAUGAAAGAUCAUUUAUGUAGUUAAAGAGAAGUUAUAAAUCGCACUGUUUAAUUUUUAUAACGUUCAAAUUAUUAUACUUUAUAUGCACGGGGAUUUUUGCAGGUACGCGCGUCCUUCGUAUUUAUCAAAAGUGUAAACGUGACACAUGUUAUGUUGCUCCUAUUUUUUUUCCACACGUUAAUACGUAACAUGUGUAAACGUACUUAUGACUAAAAUGUCGGUUUUCUAUCUACAGAGCCCGACGCUGUUAAAGAUAAGUUACAUCCGCCUAACUCCAGAUUCAAAAAAAAAAAAAGGAAAAAAAACGUACGUAGGCGGAUGAGUCUUUCUGGUACUAUAACAAGUAUUGUCAAGCCUGCUGUAAACCUGGUUUACAUAGUGCGCAUGUACAAAAUCAUACAAAUAAAUCCUACGCAAAUAUAUGAAAAAAAAAAAUGAAAAAAAGAAGAGAAACAAGAGAACCAAUUAAAUUUAUGAUCACAUCUAUGUAUAAUACUGCAAGCAUCGCUAUAGAUCUAAUCCGAAUGUAAUUGAAAUAUUUUUAUGAUUGGCGUAGCGGAUAAUUUGUACUAUACUUUGUGCACGUACGUAAUACGUAUGUGUAAGUUUUGUACAUUUUUGCAAAUUCAUACAUCACGGUACAAAUUGGUAUACUGUAGUAUAUGAUGUUACGAAUAUGACGAAAUGCUCGCUGGUGAGGGUGAUGCGGUAUACAUAACAUAUAUAUUUUUAAUCAUAUUUCAGUGCUCGUCUUUUUUCCCCUAGGCUCUCGACUAAUUUAUUAUUACAGUAAGUACGACGCAGUCUCUCAGUACUGCCUGUAGCCUGCAGCCUGCGGACCUAAACGAAAAUUCAUCAUCAAAACAACCGCAGCCUUAGAAUUUCCUGAAUUAUCUACUACCAAGGACUUUCUCUUCGCUGCUGAAUAUAAAAUUAUCAUCUCUAAACAAAUAUGCUAUCAGGAUCUUAUUGCAAUGAGGAAAAUCCAUGUUGCGUAUAGUAGGAUUACGUCAAGUUCGUUUUAAGGAUUAAAAACAAGCUGCUGGUAAGGUAUAAAAUGUAUAGUUUUAGCUUGAGUUCUUAAACUUUUAUACGGAACUAGAAUAAUUAUAAACGAUUCCAUGACCUAUAUCUACAUAAUUUACGGUUUAGGGGCUAUAAAAUUUUUGGAAAGCAACAGCAUGCGCGACUUUCUUCAUCGGGCGAAUACCUGCCUCGCGCACCAUUUACCAGGUGUUAAGGUGACGAUGUUUAGCUAUGCGGAGUUGAUACGUUUCGUAGAUAUGAUACAGCUCUGUACAUAUAUACGUAACACGUGAACCCUGCAUGCCUAAGUUUGGAGAAAUUCACGUUUUAAAUACACCAGAGGGAAGACGAAUAUCUGAAAUCGGUUACUUAUAAUACGUUCUAUCGCGAAAUAUUCGUAAAUAUGUACGCAUGUGUAAACCUCAGGUAUUUAUAAAUAGAAUCAUAAGCAUGCCAGCGUGUAUAUGCAUACACCGAUCUAUGCUGCAGGCAUACCUACUACGGUCAAUUUAUAUACCUCUAUACACGAGUCACAAAUCCGUUACGAACGCGUUCGAAUUUAAAUACUCGAUAUACGCAAGUGUGCCAUCCAUCGAGGUAUUUCGAACAGCGCCUCGAUUCCGCAUUUGUUUUUAGGUUGCCAUAAUAUGUAUGUGUAUAACUGUAAGAAACUUUAAACCGAAAGAUAAUCAGU
Neodiprion fabricii is the source of this 3578-nucleotide long non-coding RNA. RefSeq lists it as uncharacterized. NCBI's taxonomy places the organism in Eukaryota, Metazoa, Arthropoda, Insecta, Hymenoptera, Diprionidae. The transcript has 3 exons. The record is from RefSeq and is a predicted model, not a curated record.